Non-coding RNA from Dipodomys ordii (Ord's kangaroo rat), 71 nucleotides. NCBI's taxonomy places the organism in Eukaryota, Metazoa, Chordata, Mammalia, Rodentia, Heteromyidae. The record is from Rfam.
GGGGAGUUGGCUCAGUGGUAGAGCGCUUGCCUGGCAUGCAUGAGGCCCUGGUUCGCUUCCUCAGCACCACA